RNAcentral lists this ribosomal RNA (433 nucleotides) under uncultured bacterium. RNAcentral's name for it is "bacterial SSU rRNA". It matches the Rfam family "Bacterial small subunit ribosomal RNA", at positions 958 to 1392 of the family's 1533-position model. The record is from RNAcentral.
AACGCGAAGAACCUUACCUACUCUUGACAUCCUGCGAACUUGGUAGAGAUACCUUGGUGCCUUCGGGAACGCAGAGACAGGUGCUGCAUGGCUGUCGUCAGCUCGUGUUGUGAAAUGUUGGGUUAAGUCCCGUAACGAGCGCAACCCUUGUCCUUAGUUGCCAUCAUUUAGUUGGGGACUCUAAGGAGACUGCCGGUGACAAACCGGAGGAAGGCGGGGACGACGUCAAGUCAUCAUGGCCCUUACGAGUAGGGCUACACACGUGCUACAAUGGCAAGUACAGAGGGCCGCGAAGCCGCGAGGUGGAGCAAAUCCCUUAAAACCGUUCGUAGUCCGGAUUGGAGUCUGCAACUCGACUCCAUGAAGUCGGAAUCGCUAGUAAUCGCGAAUCAGAAUGUUGCGGUGAAUACGUUCCCGGGUCUUGUACACACCG